This is a non-coding RNA of Prunus avium (sweet cherry), 423 nucleotides long. The record is from RefSeq and is a predicted model, not a curated record. Lineage: Eukaryota; Viridiplantae; Streptophyta; Magnoliopsida; Rosales; Rosaceae.
CUCAAAGCUAACAAAAUCCUCUCCUUUCGUCCUUAAAAAGAAAAAAGAAAAAGAAAAAAAACCCUCUUCCUUCCUCUCGUUUUCGAAAUUCCAAUUUCCCGCCUUCUCUUCUCUCAGUCUCACACUCUCGCGCAGAGAGGUAGGAACCAACCAUUCAGUCUUCAUCAUUUUCCCUUAUAAUUUUCCUCUGCUCUUCGUUCUUCAUCAUCGUCAUCCUCCAUAAUUUAUUGCUAUUAGGGUUAGGGCUUUCACUUUUGAGAGGCCUCAGGAUUGCAAUCGCCGUUGACCCUUUUGCAAAUUACUAUGGAGGCUGCUCUGUACUCGAAACUCUACGAUACGUACAUGAAACUCAAGUCGAAGAAAUGGUCGGAGUUGGAUAAUGUUAAUAAAGAUCAAGAAGUAAAGUUCAUGGAUUAUAUCUCG